Long non-coding RNA from Pyrus x bretschneideri (Chinese white pear), 923 nucleotides. RefSeq lists it as uncharacterized. NCBI's taxonomy places the organism in Eukaryota, Viridiplantae, Streptophyta, Magnoliopsida, Rosales, Rosaceae. The record is from RefSeq and is a predicted model, not a curated record. The transcript has 5 exons.
UCCAUUACGUGUUUGUCCACGUGUUGCUCAUCGCACUGCAUCAACUACUUCUCAACUUUUCCUUCCGUUUCCACUUUUUCCCUCGCAAUUCCCUGCUUAUGUCGCCCUCGAUCUCGAUCCUCGAUUUCUUUCGCUCUCAAAUGCCACGUUCUCUCCCUCUCCGACCUUGCGAUCUUUGUCUCACAAAUUACCAACCACACUUUCUUGCUGAAAAACCACCCAAUCUGUAGAAGUUUCUUCGGUUCUUUAGUUGGAUUCGGAGAAAUUUUGUACCCAGAAAAGCUAGCGUUUCCUGGUGGCCCUGGAUUUUCCUUUUUUUGGGGCUUUUGUAACUCAAGGAAACUGUUUUUAAAGAAUGGUAGCUGGUGAUUCAAGAAAUAGUUAGAUUUUUUAAAGCUGACACAGGUUUUAGGAAUAUCAGGCUUUGAGAUACAAUACUGUUCUAGGCUGUCAUCCAGAUUCCCAACUACAUGUUUCCACGACGGUUUCAAAGAGGUCCUUGAGACGAUCAGAUGCUAUACUGAGCAGCUACCAUCAAGGUUAGGUAAGAGCGAUCGUCUUUCUCUUCGUCACUAGAUGCCUCAAGAAUUUAUAGUCACUUACCCAACUUGGGAUUUGACGCGCUCCCGAGGUGGGACCUAGACCUGACAGGCCGAAGCAGGCUCUUGUCGGCUUACCCCCAUUGGGAAGGCAGCAACAACCAGUUUGCAUGAGUGGGUAUCGGACGCUCUGCGAUCGUUUGAAGGAGUUGGUCUUGAAGUGGAAGAGGCUGUUUUGCGGGUCCCUCUGCACCAACUUCAAGUAUUGGGGAAAAUCGACAUCGCCAAUGGUUUUGCUGCAGAAGACGACGACGAAGGAGUCAAGUUCAAACUCUAGCCCGUCAGGUCUAGGUCCCACCGACGGAGGGGGUGGGCUUGGGUGGG